GACGAACGCUGGCGGCGUGCUUAACACAUGCAAGUCGAACGGAAAGGCCCUGCUUUUGUGGGGUGCUCGAGUGGCGAACGGGUGAGUAACACGUGAGUAACCUGCCCUUGACUUUAGGAUAACUUCAGGAAACUGGGGCUAAUACCGGAUAGGAGCUCCUGCUGCAUGGUGGGGGUUGGAAAGUUUCGGCGGUUGGGGAUGGACUCGCGGCUUAUCAGCUUGUUGGUGGGGUAGUGGCUUACCAAGGCUUUGACGGGUAGCCGGCCUGAGGGGGUGACCGGCCACAUUGGGACUGAGAUACGGCCCAGACUCCUACGGGAGGCAGCAGUGGGGAAUAUUGCACAAUGGGCGGAAGCCUGAUGCAGCAACGCCGCGUGCGGGAUGACGGCCUUCGGGUUGUAAACCGCUUUCGCCUGUGACGAAGCGUGAGUGACGGUAAUGGGUAAAGAAGCACCGGCUAACUACGUG
RNAcentral lists this ribosomal RNA (468 nucleotides) under uncultured bacterium. RNAcentral describes it as "partial 16S ribosomal RNA". It matches the Rfam family "Bacterial small subunit ribosomal RNA", at positions 28 to 507 of the family's 1533-position model. The record is from RNAcentral.